Long non-coding RNA from Oncorhynchus mykiss (rainbow trout), 1698 nucleotides. Lineage: Eukaryota; Metazoa; Chordata; Actinopteri; Salmoniformes; Salmonidae. The record is from Ensembl.
ACAGCAGCAUUGUCCCUGACUCCCAGCCUACCAUGAAAACAGAGAGUACUAUGUAAGUACAUGGUCUCUGUCAUUCAAAUUACAAUUGAUUUAAAAUCUGAUUUUGAAUCAGACAUGUUUACUCAUAGAGGAGCUUUGAGACCGUGUGUGCGUGCGUGCAUCUCUGUGUGUGUUCGAACAGAUUCUCCCACUGGAGGAAAGUGUCUGUAUCUGAGAUGCUGCUGCCGGUACAGAGAGGCUUCCAGAAGGCACUGCCCAAACCAGAACUUGAGAACGUAGAGCAACAGGAGCGUCCGUCAUCGGCCCAGAGAGGUUCUGGGUCGGUCCCUGGGUCAGCAGUCAGCCACAAGCAGCUCCACGCCCAGCUCACCCAGCGCCUGGAGGAGGUCCUCCGCAAGAGGGACCGGGGUACUGGGCCCGAGGAGCGAGCUGGAGUCCAGAUCAGAGUGCCUGAGGAGCGAGGUAGGCCACAGGACCGAGGGUCCCGAGAGCGAGCUGGAGCCCAGGGAGGAAGCGGGCCUGAGGAGCAAAGUGGAGCCCAGGGAGGACGAGGGCCUGAGGAGCAAGAUGGAGCCCAGGGAGGAAGAGGGCCUGAGGAGCGAGGUGAGCCCACUGGGAGAGGUGCCAAAGUGUCACGGCAGGAUGCAGGAAGGCCUGGUCAGACCAAGGGGAAACCUAAGAGCCAGAAGUCUCAGGAAACUGAAGCCACCCCAGGGAAAGCCCCUGUCAAACCCACCCCAGCUAAAGAUAUACAGGAGAGGGCAACACCUAACUCCAAGGUUAAGGCCACUGGGUCAAACUCCAGUAAAGACAAGAGAGAGGAGGUGGUGACGGGCACCAUGAUGAGGUUAAUCUCCAGCCACUACGAGAAUAGCACAUCAUCCACCACCAUUAAAUCCCCUGUAGAGUCUGUCCCUCGCUGGCCCCUUCCACCCACCAACAGGUACUGCAGCAACAGAUCUGUUUUGGAGAAGAGUUGGUUGCCGCCAUCGAUGGUGAGUGCCUGAGCUGUUGUUUUCUGAUUGAUAAACAGAAUAAGUAAUAUUCAUUUUAAUUGUAUGAAUUUAGGUAGCAGAACGUGGUAGCAGACCGAACAGCUACCUCUGGUAAGAAGUGGGGUGGUGGUGUGUGUCUAUUUGUCAAUAACAGCUGGUGCGCGAUGUCUAAUAUUAAGGAAGUCUCGAGGUAUUGCUCGCCUGAGGUAGAGUACCUCAUCAUAUGCUGUAGACCACACUACCUACCAAGAGAGUUUAUCUAUAUUCUUUGUAGCGGUCUAUUUACCACCACAAACCGAUGCUGGCACUAAGACCGCACUCAACGAGCUGCAUAAGGCCAGAAGGAAACAAGAAAUUGCUCAUCCAGAAGCAGCGCUCCUAGUGGCCUGGGACUUUAAUGCAGGCAAACUUAAAUCCAUUUGACCUAAUUUCUACCAGCAUGUCACCUGUGCAACCAGAGGAGGAAGAAAAAAAAAACCUCUAGACCACCUUUACUCCACACACAGACGCGUACAAAGCUCUCCCUCCUUUUGGCAAAUCUGACCAUAAUUGUAUCCUCUUGAUUUCUGCUUACAAGCAAAAACUAAAGCAGGAAGUACUAGUGACUAGUAAGGAAGUGGUGAGAUGACGUGGAUGCUACGCUAGAGGACUGUUUUGCUACCCCGCAGAUCCUCAACACAAGGGCCCGUCGGGUACGUGCUUG